UACGUAGGGUCCGAGCGUUGUCCGGAAUUAUUGGGCGUAAAGGGCUCGUAGGCGGUUUGUCGCGUCGGGAGUGAAAACACGGGGCUUAACCCCCGUGCCUGCUUCCGAUACGGGCAGACUAGAGGUAUGCAGGGGAGACUGGAAUUCCUGGUGUAGCGGUGAAAUGCGCAGAUAUCAGGAGGAACACCGGUGGCGAAGGCGGGUCCUG
This 208-nucleotide ribosomal RNA is filed under the name uncultured bacterium. Its description in RNAcentral is "partial 16S ribosomal RNA". It matches the Rfam family "Bacterial small subunit ribosomal RNA", at positions 524 to 731 of the family's 1533-position model. The record is from RNAcentral.